Molecule: RNA transcript, 840 nt
Organism: Haplochromis burtoni (Burton's mouthbrooder)
Lineage: Eukaryota; Metazoa; Chordata; Actinopteri; Cichliformes; Cichlidae
Exons: 3
Source: RefSeq, a predicted model, not a curated record
AUUGCUCCUUCAGUAAAUGAAGGAGACUAUGUGAACAGGAAGUCUUUCCACAGCAUUAAUGUACAGAUCAUAUAUGAUGCUGCCAACAUUAUCACAAAUGUGGAAGCCAAGUGGCCAGGCUCUGUCCAUGACUCACAAAUAUUCCGUGAAUGUACACUGAGCACAAAAUUUGGACAUGGAGAGUUCACUGGCUACUUGCUUGGUGAUAGGGGGUAUCCAUGUUUACCCUAUUUGCUUACUCCUUACUCUGACCCUGAACCGGGCCCACAGCAGCGAUAUAAUCUAGUUGAGGGCCAAGGAGCAAAGCCGGGUAACCAUCUAUUUUGUUUUUAUGUUUUUUUGCACAUCUUCUUACUUUUUUCUUUCUGCUAUUAAACUCUAUGUAGACUAAAGAUAUAAAAUUCGGGUCACUGUCUGACCUUCAAGCACUCUCAAGCCCUUGAGUGAAGCUGAAGGUGGCUUUAAAAACAAGUGUAUUCUUCCGUUCUUUGGAUAAAGCUGAUCAAGCUUAUUUAUUUGUUGUUGUUGAUUUAAUUUUUUAAAUCACAAUCAGAACAACCUGUGAUUGUGCCCAAGUGUUUGGUUGGCAGUAUUUGUGAAAUACUUUGUUCAUAACCUCAAAUAGCAACCUGACAGUCAUUGAUAUUACCUGGGAAUCAUAACAAAGGUCCAUAAACAAUGUUGUGCCAUAUCAUUGAUUCAGUGGAUUACUGGAUAAGUGAAAGCUUUAAUCUUGUGUUGAACACAGGAAGAAAAAAAAACAAAAAACGAGGAUCACAAAUAUCCAUGGAAAGCAGUCUGUGUGAUCGAUAUCUAUACAUAAAAUAAUACAUUUCUGUC